This is a small nuclear RNA of Hippopotamus amphibius kiboko, 108 nucleotides long. NCBI's taxonomy places the organism in Eukaryota, Metazoa, Chordata, Mammalia, Artiodactyla, Hippopotamidae. The record is from RefSeq and is a predicted model, not a curated record.
GUGCUCGCUUUGGCAACACACAUACUAAAAAUUGGAAUAAUACAAAGAAAAUUAGCAUAGUCCCUGUGAAAGGAUGACAGGUAAAUUCGUGAAGCAUUCCAUAUUUUU